RNAcentral lists this ribosomal RNA (465 nucleotides) under uncultured bacterium. RNAcentral's name for it is "partial 16S ribosomal RNA". It matches the Rfam family "Bacterial small subunit ribosomal RNA", at positions 338 to 795 of the family's 1533-position model. The record is from RNAcentral.
CCUACGGGAGGCAGCAGUGGGGAAUAUUGCGCAAUGGGCGAAAGCCUGACGCAGCGACGCCGCGUGAGGGAUGAAGGUCUUCGGAUCGUAAACCUCUGUCAGCAGGGAAGAACGGUCACUGUGCUAAUCAGCAGUGAAUUGACGGUACCUGCAAAGGAAGCACCGGCUAACUCCGUGCCAGCAGCCGCGGUAAUACGGAGGGUGCGAGCGUUAAUCGGAAUUACUGGGCGUAAAGCGCUCGUAGGCGGGAUGUCAAGUCAAGGGUGAAAUCCCCGCGCUCAACGUGGGAACUGCCUUGGAAACUGGCAAACUGGAGUGUGUGAGAGGAUAGUGGAAUUCCAGGUGUAGGAGUGAAAGCCGUAGAUAUCUGGAGGAACAUCAGUGGCGAAGGCGACUAUCUGGCACAUAACUGACGCUGAGGAGCGAAAGCGUGGGUAGCAAACAGGAUUAGAUACCCUAGUAGUC